RNAcentral lists this ribosomal RNA (407 nucleotides) under uncultured bacterium. RNAcentral's name for it is "partial 16S ribosomal RNA". It matches the Rfam family "Bacterial small subunit ribosomal RNA", at positions 30 to 526 of the family's 1533-position model. The record is from RNAcentral.
AUUGAACGCUGGCGGCAGGCCUAACACAUGCAAGUCGAGCGGAGCGGCGGACGGGUGAGUAAUGCCUAGGAAUCUGCCUGGUAGUGGGGGAUAACGUCCGGCAACGGGCGCUAAUACCGCAUACUAUCAGAUGAGCCUACGUCGGCUUAUCUAGUGGGUGGGGUAAAGGCCUACCAGGGCGACGAUCCGUAACUGGUCUGAGAGGAUGAUCAGUCAAAUUGGAACAGAGACACGGUCCAGACUCCUACGGGAGGCAGCAGUGGGGAAUAUUGGACAAGAGGCGAGAGCCUGAUCCAGCGAUGCCGCGUGUGUGAAGAAGGUCUUCGGAUAGUAAAGCACUUUAAGUUGGGAGGCGUUACCAACAGAAUAAGCACCGGCUAACUUCGUGCCAGCAGCCGCGGUAAUUC